UGGCCAGCCAAUCAUGCUCGUCGAGCGAACGGACGAGAAGCUUGCUUCUCUGAUGUUAGCGGCGGACGGGUGAGUAACACGUGGAUAACCUACCUAUAAGACUGGGAUAACUUCGGGAAACCGGAGCUAAUACCGGAUAAUAUUUUGAACCGCAUGGUUCAAAAGUGAAAGACGGUCUUGCUGUCACUUAUAGAUGGAUCCGCGCUGCAUUAGCUAGUUGGUAAGGUAACGGCUUACCAAGGCAACGAUGCAUAGCCGACCUGAGAGGAKUGAUUCGGUCCACACYKGAACUGAGACACGGUCCAGACUYCUACGGGAGGCAGCAGUASGKAAUCUUCCGCAAUGGGCGAAAGSCUGACGGAGCAACGYCGCGUGAGUGAUGAAGGUCUUCGGAUCGUAAAACUCUGUUAUUAGGGAAGAACAUAUGUGUAAGUAACUGUGCACAUCUUGACGGUACCUAAUCAGAAAGCCACGGCUAACUACGUGCCAGCAGCCGCGGUAAUACGUAGGUGGCAAGCGUUAUCCGGAAUUAUUGGGCGUAAAGCGCGCGUAGGCGGUUUUUUAAGUCUGAUGUGAAAGCCCACGGCUCAACCGUGGAGGGUCAUUGGAAACUGGAAAACUUGAGUGCAGAAGAGGAAAGUGGAAUUCCAUGUGUAGCGGUGAAAUGCGCAGAGAUAUGGAGGAACACCAGUGGCGAAGGCGACUUUCUGGUCUGUAACUGACGCUGAUGUGCGAAAGCGUGGGGAUCAAACAGGAUUAGAUACCCUGGUAGUCCACGCCGUAAACGAUGAGUGCUAAGUGUUAGGGGGUUUCCGCCCCUUAGUGCUGCAGCUAACGCAUUAAGCACUCCGCCUGGGGAGUACGACCGCAAGGUUGAAACUCAAAGGAAUUGACGGGGACCCGCACAAGCGGUGGAGCAUGUGGUUUAAUUCGAAGCAACGCGAAGAACCUUACCAAAUCUUGACAUCCUUUGACAACUCUAGAGAUAGAGCCUUCCCCUUCGGGGGACAAAGUGACAGGUGGUGCAUGGUUGUCGUCAGCUCGUGUCGUGAGAUGUUGGGUUAAGUCCCGCAACGAGCGCAACCCUUWAGCUUAGUUGCCAUCAUUAAGUUGGGCACUCUAAGUUGACUGCCGGUGACAAACCGGAGGAAGGUGGGRAUGACGUCAAAUCAUCAUGCUCCCUUAUGAUUUGGGCUACACACGUGCUACAAUGGACAAUACAAAGGGCAGCGAAACCGCGAGGUCAAGCAAAUCCCAUAAAGUUGUUCUCAGUUCGGAUUGUAGUCUGCAACUCGACUACAUGAAGCUGGAAUCGCUAGUAAUCGUAGAUCAGCAUGCUACGGUGAAUACGUUCCCGGGUCUUGUACACACCGCCCGUCACACCACGAGAGUUUGUAACACCCGAAGCCGGUGGAGUAACCUUUUAGGAGCUAGCCGUCGAAAUG
This 1445-nucleotide ribosomal RNA is filed under the name Staphylococcus aureus. RNAcentral describes it as "bacterial SSU rRNA". It matches the Rfam family "Bacterial small subunit ribosomal RNA". The record is from RNAcentral. Lineage: Bacteria; Bacillati; Bacillota; Bacilli; Caryophanales; Staphylococcaceae.